CUCCUACGGGACGCAGCAGUGAGGAAUAUUGGUCAAUGGCCGCAGGGCUGAACCAGCCAAGUCGCGUGAGGGAUGACGGUCCUAUGGAUUGUAAACCUCUUUUGUCAGGGAGCAAAGGGCGCCACGUGUGGCGUUUUGCGAGUACCUGAAGAAAAAGCAUCGGCUAACUCCGUGCCAGCAGCCGCGGUAAUACGGAGGAUGCGAGCGUUAUCCGGAUUUAUUGGGUUUAAAGGGUGCGCAGGCGGGAGCUCAAGUUAGCGGUAAAAUGUCGGGGCUCAACCCCGGGCGGCCGUUGAAACUGGUUU
RNAcentral lists this ribosomal RNA (305 nucleotides) under uncultured bacterium. RNAcentral describes it as "bacterial SSU rRNA". It matches the Rfam family "Bacterial small subunit ribosomal RNA", at positions 336 to 639 of the family's 1533-position model. The record is from RNAcentral.